RNAcentral lists this ribosomal RNA (514 nucleotides) under uncultured microorganism. RNAcentral describes it as "bacterial SSU rRNA". It matches the Rfam family "Bacterial small subunit ribosomal RNA", at positions 9 to 506 of the family's 1533-position model. The record is from RNAcentral.
GAGUUUGAUCUUGGCUCAGGAUGAACGCUGGCGGCGUGCCUAAUACAUGCAAGUCGAGCGAACGGACGAGAAGCUUGCUUCUCUGAUGUUAGCGGCGGACGGGUGAGUAACACGUGGAUAACCUACCUAUAAGACUGGGAUAACUUCGGGAAACCGGAGCUAAUACCGGAUAAUAUUUUGAACCGCAUGGUUCAAAAGUGAAAGACGGUCUUGCUGUCACUUAUAGAUGGAUCCGCGCUGCAUUAGCUAGUUGGUAAGGUAACGGCUUACCAAGGCAACGAUGCAUAGCCGACCUGAGAGGGUGAUCGGCCACACUGGAACUGAGACACGGUCCAGACUCCUACGGGAGGCAGCAGUAGGGAAUCUUCCGCAAUGGGCGAAAGCCUGACGGAGCAACGCCGCGUGAGUGAUGAAGGUCUUCGGAUCGUAAAACUCUGUUAUUAGGGAAGACAUAUGUGUAAGUAACUGUGCACAUCUUGACGGUACCUAAUCAGAAAGCCACGGCUAACUACGU